This 431-nucleotide ribosomal RNA is filed under the name uncultured bacterium. RNAcentral describes it as "partial 16S ribosomal RNA". It matches the Rfam family "Bacterial small subunit ribosomal RNA", at positions 29 to 507 of the family's 1533-position model. The record is from RNAcentral.
AACGAACGCUGGCGGCAGGCUUAACACAUGCAAGUCGAGCGCCCCGCAAGGGGAGCGGCAGACGGGUGAGUAACGCGUGGGAACGUACCUUUUGGUUCGGAACAACUACGGGAAACUGGAGCUAAUACCGGAUAAGCCCUAACGGGGAAAGAUUUAUCGCCGAAAGAUCGGCCCGCGUCUGAUUAGCUAGUUGGUGAGGUAACGGCUCACCAAGGCGACGAUCAGUAGCUGGUCUGAGAGGAUGAUCAGCCACACUGGGACUGAGACACGGCCCAGACUCCUACGGGAGGCAGCAGUGGGGAAUAUUGGACAAUGGGCGCAAGCCUGAUCCAGCCAUGCCGCGUGAGUGAUGAAGGCCUUAGGGUUGUAAAGCUCUUUUGUCCGGGAAGAUAAUGACUGUACCGGAAGAAUAAGCCCCGGCUAACUUCGUG